GCGGCUCCGGCAGCGCCGAGCGCCGGGGAACGGGGCUGGGGGGCAGCGGCGGCACCGCCCGGGGACUGGGGUUGGGGUUGAGGGGCAGCGGGGGCACCGCCCGGCUGCGGGCACUCGGGUUGCGCGGGGCCGGGGCUGCUCUGCCGAGCCUGGCGCUGCGGGGCUGGCACACCCCGGCCUGCACCCUGCUCGCCUUUGAGUCUUCGGCUUCUCUGUGGAUUCUCCAGUGACUUUUCUGACCUUUCGGUUAAGGCCGUGGUACCUCAGUGCGGUCGGUUUGCAUUCUGUUGGGUUCCCCGGCAGGUAGGGCCGGGAGCCCUGUUGAAGUCAUUACUGGAGCAUUUCUGGCUUCCAGUAGGAAAAUUCUGUGUUGAUCCACCAGAAGAAGAGUGGCUGGCGGCACAGGUGGUUCAUGCCAAGUGACUGGGGAAACGUGAAAUCCAUUAGGAUUAGGAGAAAUGACAGUGGCUGCAGGAAAGGUGUGAUUUCUCACAGCAGCCUCCCAGUUUUGGUGGUAAAUGUGGCAGUGGUGGCUCUUUGGGUCUGAAUGUCCCUAUCUCUGGUUUGUCCCAGUGCCCUUGCUGAUCUGUGCUGGUGGUGGCUGCUCUCGUGUGCAGCCAGUGUGUGUGUGGCCCGGUUUGGAGCUGAAUUCUGACCCAGCGGGAUGUGCUGACUGCCACAGGAUGAGUCCUGUGCUUCUCUCCACCACAUUACAUCAGUCUGAGCUGUUCUGGAGUCUCACCACCCUUGCAGAUUUAGCAUCGCUUAGUAUUGCCUCAUCAGGCAGCAGUGUUGGUGAGAAUUUUGCAAAAGCAAAUCUCAUCUAAAAUCCUUCUUCGUUUUGCAAACCACUUCUCAUCCACCUCAAUCACAUUGCGCAGCUCCUCUGUGGCACGGCUGUAGAAAAUCAGCCGGGAAAGUGGUACUGGGUGUGCAUCAGGUAUAUGGUAUUCAUAGCUGCUUCUAAGCACGUUGAACAGCAAAAGGUGCAGAAAAUAAGCUGUGCAGGAGGGUUGGGCAAGUCCUGUGUGUCCCCAGCAAGUGCCGCAAGGAGCCUGUGGGGGCUGAGCUGUGGGUGGGCAGCAGGGCUCGCUGCCGCGGGUCUGCAAACAGCUGCUGGAGAGAAUGAAAGAGCAGGGAGGGACCAGGAACAGAGGAAUGAGUCUGAAAGCAUCAGCUCUGCUAUGGGAACGGCCAGCAUGGACAUCAAGGAAUGAUGGUGGCAAGCAAGUCAUUAGGAGAUCAUUUGAUGAGUGGUUUAAAUCCCACGUGUGGCUCUGGCAUGGAGAUCUGCUUUGCUGCUGCAGUGGCUUAGAGAUACCGAGGCAAUAGGGAAGAAAUUCCACGGGCUCUGUGGCUGCUGAUGUGAACUGUUCCCGUUGCACCAGGAGCCCCUUUGCUGGGAGACUGCCCGAGACUGUGGACCAGGGAAAACACCCAUGGGAAACGUGCUUGAGUUUGGGAAACAAGUCCUUGAGUUUGCUGCUGUUUUCGUCACAAAUGUAUCGCGUUGCGAUGGCAAAUGCAGACGCUACAUUUAAAAGCUGUUUGCUCCGCUGCUGCUUGCAGAAGGAGUAAUUUUUUCCCUUCAUCUCUUUGGCCGUGGUACUGCGCUGCUGCAGGAGUUCCUGCGUGUCUCCACGAGCCUCCCCCUUCCUCCCACCCUCCCCUGCUGCUGUGAAGAUUCAGGGCCAGGCCAGAGCUGGGGUGCUGCAGGCGCAAGUUCCUGUGGGUAGGAGGGGGGUUUUGCCUUUUGGGGCUCCUGUUCCCUCAGCCCUGGGCUGUGCUGGGUCUGUGUCCCCUCCCAGCCCUGGGCUGGGCAUCCUUUGUCCCCCAGAUGCCACCUGGCCCCCCUCUGGCCUUGUUCCAGUGCUGCAGCUCUGGGUUCUGGGCGGUUUGGGCCUGUUCAGUUCAAGCCCAGUUUGGAGCCGUUGGGCCCCCAGCACUGGCACCUAUGGAUGCCCCAACGGUCACCCGCGCUCCCGGCCGUGCCCCCCUGCUCCAGCUCCUCAGGAGCCUCUUUGGGCUCCUGCGGGGGACGCGGGAGCCCCACAUGGAGGGGCAGGAGCUGGGCGCUGUUGGGGACAGCAGCGGCCCGGGGGAGCUGGCGGGCCAGCAGCACCCGCACUGGGAGCCCUGGGAGGGGGAGAGCAUGGAGCCGCUGCUGGGGGAGCUCAGCCUCGCCGGCUCCCUGGGGAGCAGCUCCAGCAGAAGCUGUGUGACAUUGAGCACCAGUGACAUGGAGAUGGCAGUGGCCAGUGACGGGGGGGACAGUCCUGCCGGCAGCCCAGCCCGGCAGCGUGCAGGCCUGGCCGGUGAGGAGGGGACGGCUAUGCUGGAGACUUUCAGCAGCAAAGCUCUGGAGACUGAUGGGCUUCUUCAGGGUCCGGGUGCUGAUGGCGAAGAUGUUACCAGCAGUGCAAGCCCUGAGCUAAUGUUUUCUAUGGAUUUUGAUACUGAAUGGGAGAAAGAGCAGCUCCUGAAAGCAGAUGAGGCUGCAGGCUCCCCGAAAGCAGAGCUGUCCUCAUGGAACAGGCUCUUCAAUGUGAACCGGCUUCGGGGGAGUUCACACAAGUUAUUUUCUUCUGGUGCAGUACGGCGCCCCAGGGAGGCUGAUGGAGCCGGAAAGCAAGGAGCAGCCUCUCUCGGAUGCAGCAAACCCCAGCGCUGCCGCCCUGGGCGAGAGGUUUUCUGAAGACGGAGCAAGAGAAACCCACUGGCUGCCUUGGGAGAAGCUGGGAAUGGUGGGGAGCAGGCGGAGCAGGAACCCCUGGAGAAGGCUGAGGUCCAGCUCCCUGGAGCAGUGGGGAGCAGCCCCUGAGGGAUCCCCCCGCAGCCCCCCUGGAUCAGCGCCUCCUCUCCGCUCCCCACGCUGGCCUCAGCCAGGCUCAGGCCUGGCCCGAAGAGCUCCUCAGCUCCAUCUUCUUCCUCUUCAUUCUCCUACGUGCCCCUUUGAACACACCAUGUUUCCCUUUUUGCUUUCUCCUUUCCUGUUCCUGGGGAAGGACCCGUGGGUCUCCCGCCCCUGCCUGGCACAGCCUGCCUUUGGUUUGCAUUUUAUUUUAUUUUUUAGAUUAAGAACUUAGUGUGAAUAAAUUGUUCUCACUUCUCCCUCUGAUUGUUCACUUUCCCUUAUUAAACAGGUCUGUGUUGAAUUACUUAUUCUCCUUUCCCAGCCUGUUCACCCUCCAGCUUUUUCUUGUUCUCCCCAUCAGUUAUUCUCUGUGGCUUUUAAGGUUUUUAUUUAUUAGCUUCAGGGUAAGAGGAGACAGGUCUCUG
Molecule: RNA transcript, 3279 nt
Organism: Columba livia (rock pigeon)
Lineage: Eukaryota; Metazoa; Chordata; Aves; Columbiformes; Columbidae
Exons: 6
Source: RefSeq, a predicted model, not a curated record